RNAcentral lists this ribosomal RNA (253 nucleotides) under uncultured bacterium. Its description in RNAcentral is "partial 16S ribosomal RNA". It matches the Rfam family "Bacterial small subunit ribosomal RNA", at positions 524 to 776 of the family's 1533-position model. The record is from RNAcentral.
UACGUAGGGGGCUAGCGUUGUCCGGAAUCAUUGGGCGUAAAGCGCGCGUAGGCGGCCCGGUAAGUCCGCUGUGAAAGUCCAGGGCUCAACCCUGGAAAGCCGGUGGAUACUGCCGGGCUAGAGUCCGGAAGAGGCGAGUGGAAUUCCUGGUGUAGCGGUGGAAUGCGUAGAUAUCGUAAGGAAGACCAGUGGCGAAGGCGGGUCUCUGGACAGUUCCUGACACUGAGACACGAAGGCCAGGGGAGCAAACGGG